CUACAGGCUUAACACAUGCAAGUCGAGGGGCAGCAUGGUCUUAGCUUGCUAAGGCCGAUGGCGACCGGCGCACGGGUGAGUAACACGUAUCCAACCUGCCGUCUACUCUUGGACAGCCUUCUGAAAGGAAGAUUAAUACAAGAUGGCAUCAUGAGUUCACAUGUUCACAUGAUUAAAGGUAUUCCGGUAGACGAUGGGGAUGCGUUCCAUUAGAUAGUAGGCGGGGUAACGGCCCACCUAGUCUUCGAUGGAUAGGGGUUCUGAGAGGAAGGUCCCCCACAUUGGAACUGAGACACGGUCCAAACUCCUACGGGAGGCAGCAGUGAGGAAUAUUGGUCAAUGGGCGCAGGCCUGAACCAGCCAAGUAGCGUGCAGGAUGACGGCCCUAUGGGUUGUAAACUGCUUUUAUAAGGGAAUAAAGUGGGAGUCGUGACUCUUUUUGCAUGUACCUUAUGAAUAAGGACCGGCUAAUUCCGUG
RNAcentral lists this ribosomal RNA (478 nucleotides) under uncultured bacterium. Its description in RNAcentral is "bacterial SSU rRNA". It matches the Rfam family "Bacterial small subunit ribosomal RNA", at positions 40 to 507 of the family's 1533-position model. The record is from RNAcentral.